RNAcentral lists this non-coding RNA (262 nucleotides) under Coriobacteriaceae bacterium BV3Ac1. Its description in RNAcentral is "raiA RNA". It matches the Rfam family "raiA RNA". The record is from Rfam by way of RNAcentral. Lineage: Bacteria; Bacillati; Actinomycetota; Coriobacteriia; Coriobacteriales; Coriobacteriaceae.
UCUUUCCAGGUCUGUGGUUGCGGACGCAAAUGGCUAUGGUCUGUGCGUCUUAGUCCAUGGCAGACGAGGCCAAAAGGAUCCACGUAAGUUCGGAUCGCGAUUCGAGCGAGCAUGGCUCGUCCUAGAGGUAAGCCGCACCGCCCGUCCUACUAGAGAUAUUCCGUCUCGCGGGCGAGAGAGUUUGUAGUGGGGGCAUCGCGUAGCCCGAAGCGAAGACUCCUGUGCGCGAGUGUGGGGUCAAAUACCAGGUCAGCUGGGAAGA